ACUGGAAUGAACGGCUAAAUGAGGACUAAACUGUCUCUUGCGAGCUAGUCAAUGAAAUUGAUUUUCCAGUACAAAAGCUGGAAUAGACCCAUAAGACGAAAAGACCCUGUGGAGCUUAAAAACCAGAUUCAUUAAGAAUGUUUCCUCGGAUUUUCAGUUGGGGCGACUUCGGAGUACCAAAAAACCUCCGAAAAAUGUUAAACUUAUAUUAAGAUCAACACACCAAAAUACAUAUAGACCCAGCAAUUUUUACAAAUAUGUCUGACCAAUGAACCAAGUUACCCCAGGGAUAACAGCGCCAUCCCCUUUUAGAGUCCCUAUCGACAAGGGGGUUUACGACCUCGAUGUUGGAUUAGGACACCCCAAUGGUGCAGCCGCCAUUAAAG
Molecule: ribosomal RNA, 386 nt
Filed under: Iranolacerta brandtii
Lineage: Eukaryota; Metazoa; Chordata; Lepidosauria; Squamata; Lacertidae
Description: partial 16S ribosomal RNA
Rfam family: Bacterial large subunit ribosomal RNA
Source: RNAcentral